ACGUUCAAGAAAGACAAUUGAAAUGUGAAAGUUGUUUCAGCUGUCGGGAAACCUGCUGGAGAGAAGUGGAAAUAUUUGAGUGCAGAUGGACAUGCUGGGACAGUUAGCAUUUCUUCGCUGCAGACCCAAUGGUUGGUGCAGCUGAAUUAAGGAUUAUAAACGGGUC
Long non-coding RNA from Helianthus annuus (common sunflower), 166 nucleotides. RefSeq lists it as uncharacterized. Lineage: Eukaryota; Viridiplantae; Streptophyta; Magnoliopsida; Asterales; Asteraceae. The record is from RefSeq and is a predicted model, not a curated record. The transcript has 3 exons.